GCUAACUACGUGCCAGCAGCCGCGGUAAUACGUAGGGUGCGAGCGUUAAUCGGAAUUACUGGGCGUAAAGCGUGCGCAGGCGGCUAUGCAAGACAGAUGUGAAAUCCCCGGGCUCAACCUGGGAACUGCAUUUGUGACUGCAUGGCUAGAGUGCGUCAGAGGGAGGUGGAAUUCCGCGUGUAGCAGUGAAAUGCGUAGAGAUGCGGAGGAACACCGAUGGCGAAGGCAGCCUCCUGGGAUGACACUGACGCUCAUGCACGAAAGCGUGGGGAGCAAACAGGAUUAGAUACCCUUGUAGUC
This 300-nucleotide ribosomal RNA is filed under the name uncultured Zoogloea sp. RNAcentral describes it as "bacterial SSU rRNA". It matches the Rfam family "Bacterial small subunit ribosomal RNA", at positions 496 to 795 of the family's 1533-position model. Lineage: Bacteria; Pseudomonadati; Pseudomonadota; Betaproteobacteria; Rhodocyclales; Zoogloeaceae. The record is from RNAcentral.